GUGGCGGACGGGUGAGUAACACGUGGGUAACCUGCCCUUAAGUGGGGGAUAACAUUUGGAAACAGAUGCUAAUACCGCAUAGAUCCAAGAACCGCAUGGUUCUUGGCUGAAAGAUGGCGUAAGCUAUCGCUUUUGGAUGGACCCGCGGCGUAUUAGCUAGUUGGUGAGGUAAUGGCUCACCAAGGCGAUGAUACGUAGCCGAACUGAGAGGUUGAUCGGCCACAUUGGGACUGAGACACGGCCCAAACUCCUACGGGAGGCAGCAGUAGGGAAUCUUCCACAAUGGACGCAAGUCUGAUGGAGCAACGCCGCGUGAGUGAAGAAGGCUUUCGGGUCGUAAAACUCUGUUGUUGGAGAAGAAUGGUCGGCAGAGUAACUGUUGUCGGCGUGACGGUAUCCAACCAGAAAGCCACGGCUAACUACGUGCCAGCAGCCGCGGUAAUACGUAGGUGGCAAGCGUUAUCCGGAUUUAUUGGGCGUAAAGCGAGCGCAGGCGGUUUUUUAAGUCUGAUGUGAAAGCCCUCGGCUUAACCGAGGAAGCGCAUCGGAAGCUGGGAAACUUGAGUGCAGAAGAGGACAGUGGAACUCCAUGUGUAGCGGUGAAAUGCGUAGAUAUAUGGAAGAACACCAGUGGCGAAGGCGGCUGUCUGGUCUGUAACUGACGCUGAGGCUCGAAAGUAUGGGUAGCGAACAGGAUUAGAUACCCUGGUAGUCCAUGCCGUAAACGAUGAAUGCUAGGUGUUGGAGGGU
RNAcentral lists this ribosomal RNA (750 nucleotides) under uncultured bacterium. Its description in RNAcentral is "bacterial SSU rRNA". It matches the Rfam family "Bacterial small subunit ribosomal RNA", at positions 95 to 831 of the family's 1533-position model. The record is from RNAcentral.